UUCCCGUGAUCCUGCCGGAACCCGACUGCUAUUUGGGUGAGGAUAAGCCAUGCGAGUUGAAUGGGAUACCUAAAAAUCCCAUGGCAAACUGCUCAGUAACACAUGAUCAACUUACCCUAUAGAGGAAAAUAACCUCGGGAAACUGAGGAUAAUGUUCCAUAGUUGAAUCGGCUUGGAAAAGUUUUUCAAUAAAAGGGAUAAGAAAAAUGGUUCUUAUCUGCUAUAGGAUAGGAUCGUGCUCGAUUAUGGUUGUUGGUGAGGUAAAGGCUCACCAAGCCGAUAAUCGAUAGGGGCCGUGAGAGCGGGAGCCCCGAGAUGGGUACUGAGACAACGACCCAGGCCUUACGAGGCGCAGCAGGCGCGAAACCUCCGCAAUACACGAAAGUGUGACGGGGUUACCCAAAGUGUUCUAUUUAGAACUGUGGUAGGUGAGUAAUGUUCCCUACUAGAAAGGAGAGGGCAAGGCUGGUGCCAGCCGCCGCGGUAAAACCAGCUCUUCAAGUGGUCGGGAUAAUUAUUGGGCUUAAAGUGUCCGUAGCCGGUUUAGUAAGUUCCUGGUAAAAUCGGGUAGCUUAACUAUCUAUAUGCUAGGAAUACUGCUAUACUAGAGGGCGGGAGAGGUCUGAGGUACUACAGGGGUAGGGGUGAAAUCUUAUAAUCCUUGUAGGACCACCAGUGGCGAAGGCGUCAGACUGGAACGCGCCUGACGGUGAGGGACGAAAGCCAGGGGAGCGAACCGGAUUAGAUACCCGGGUAGUCCUGGCCGUAAACGAUGCAUACUAGGUGAUGGCACGGCCAUGAGCCGUGUCAGUGCCGUAGGGAAACCGUUAAGUGUGCCGCCUGGGAAGUACGGUCGCAAGGCUAAAACUUAAAGGAAUUGGCGGGGGAGCACCACAAGGGGUGAAGCCUGCGGUUCAAUUGGAAUCAACGCCGGU
RNAcentral lists this ribosomal RNA (935 nucleotides) under uncultured archaeon. RNAcentral describes it as "bacterial SSU rRNA". It matches the Rfam family "Archaeal small subunit ribosomal RNA", at positions 1 to 922 of the family's 1478-position model. The record is from RNAcentral.